RNAcentral lists this ribosomal RNA (462 nucleotides) under uncultured Neisseria sp. RNAcentral describes it as "bacterial SSU rRNA". It matches the Rfam family "Bacterial small subunit ribosomal RNA", at positions 22 to 473 of the family's 1533-position model. Lineage: Bacteria; Pseudomonadati; Pseudomonadota; Betaproteobacteria; Neisseriales; Neisseriaceae. The record is from RNAcentral.
GCUCAGAUUGAACGCUGGCGGCAUGCUUUACACAUGCAAGUCGAACGGCAGCACGAAAGAGCUUGCUCUUUUGGUGGCGAGUGGCGAACGGGUGAGUAAUACAUUGGAACGUACCGAGUAAUGGGGGAUAACUGUCCGAAAGGAUGGCUAAUACCGCAUACGCUCUGAGGAGGAAAGCGGGGGACCUUCGGGCCUCGCGUUAUUCGAGCGGCCAAUGUCUGAUUAGCUAGUUGGUGGGGUAAAAGCCUACCAAGGCGACGAUCAGUAGUGGGUCUGAGAGGAUGAUCCGCCACACUGGGACUGAGACACGGCCCAGACUCCUACGGGAGGCAGCAGUGGGGAAUUUUGGACAAUGGGCGAAAGCCUGAUCCAGCCAUGCCGCGUGUCUGAAGAAGGCCUUCGGGUUGUAAAGGACUUUUGUCAGGGAAGAAAGGGUUUGGGUUAAUACCCUAAGCUUAUGAC